RNAcentral lists this microRNA precursor (105 nucleotides) under Canis lupus familiaris (dog). RNAcentral describes it as "mir-8834 microRNA precursor family". It matches the Rfam family "mir-8834 microRNA precursor family". RNAcentral also lists the same sequence under 1 other name. Lineage: Eukaryota; Metazoa; Chordata; Mammalia; Carnivora; Canidae. The record is from Rfam by way of RNAcentral.
AGGAGCAACAGCCCUAGUGGCGGAGCCAGCUCUGGAAACCUGGAUUCAGCUCCUGUAGGAACUCCGGAGCUCUCCGUCUGCAGGGCCUGGAGGCUCCAGGGCGGG